Diospyros lotus (date-plum) is the source of this 154-nucleotide small nucleolar RNA. RefSeq annotates it as small nucleolar RNA snoR143. The record is from RefSeq and is a predicted model, not a curated record. NCBI's taxonomy places the organism in Eukaryota, Viridiplantae, Streptophyta, Magnoliopsida, Ericales, Ebenaceae. The transcript has a single exon.
UUGAAUUUUCGCCGAACAGAGUCUGAUAAGGCUGUGUUUGGGGGUGAAUUCUUGGAAAGAAAAAUCAGGCAGCGGCCAGACAACCGUAGGGAUGAGGCUUCCACAGACGACAGAUUUCUUCAUUUUGUUCGUCUACUAAUCCCAUCUCACAUUA